AAGGGCAGCCCUCUGCCUUCCACCAAUUCCCCCCCCAAUCCUUGCGUCUCUCCCUUUUAUCCCAGUUUCCGCAAGGCAGCUCCCUCCUUAUUCUUUCCACGCCCUGACCUCCUGUCAGCGCCCCCUCUCCCUCCUUUCCAGCUCCAAGACCACCCACUGUCUAACUCCUUUCUUUUAUUCUAUUAUUUUCCCUUCUUUGCUUCACACUCCCCGCACGAGGUAAACCCUUUUUUUCACGCUUCACACUCCCCGCACGAGGCUCUCCUUUUUUUCACGCUGCCCAAGCAGCUCUUUCUUUUUAUUUUUUAUUCUUUCCGUUUUCUCCCUCCUUUCACGCCUGCCUUCUUUCCCUCUCCCAAUUAUCCUGCUGUCCUCAUUAUUAUUUUUCCUUCUUUCUGUUCUCUUUUUGCUGAUCUCUCUUAGCUUUCUUUCUUCUCCUAGAAACACAAUAAAUCAAAAGUAUCAUAAAUACUUAAAACUUCCAACUAAAUUAGACAAGAAAAGAAAUAUAAAAGGAUGAAAUAUAUAGUUUAAAUAUUGGUUUAUCAUUUAGCGUCACAAUGGAUUAGCAAUAUUGUAAUUUAAAUUUGCUUUUGACGAAUUUAUUACAUAAAAUUUCACUUGUUCUAUUUUUAUUUU
This 639-nucleotide long non-coding RNA is filed under the name Malus domestica (apple). RNAcentral's name for it is "long non-coding RNA (MDOM_LNC014183)". The record is from RNAcentral. Lineage: Eukaryota; Viridiplantae; Streptophyta; Magnoliopsida; Rosales; Rosaceae.